CAUGCAGGUGGUUUCGUUAGUCGGAUGUGAAAGCCUCUGGCUUAACUAGAGGAGGUCGUUCGAUACUGCGGGACUAGAGGUCGGAAGAGGGAAGCGGAAUUCCCGGUGUAGUGGUGGAAUGCGUAGAUAUCGGGAGGAACACCAGUGGCGAAGGCGGCUUCCUGGUCCGCACCUGACACUAAGAUGCGAAAGCGUGGGGAGCGAACG
Molecule: ribosomal RNA, 207 nt
Filed under: uncultured bacterium
Lineage: Bacteria
Description: partial 16S ribosomal RNA
Rfam family: Bacterial small subunit ribosomal RNA
Source: RNAcentral